Alosa alosa (allis shad) is the source of this 507-nucleotide long non-coding RNA. RefSeq lists it as uncharacterized. The record is from RefSeq and is a predicted model, not a curated record. The transcript is spliced from 3 exons. NCBI's taxonomy places the organism in Eukaryota, Metazoa, Chordata, Actinopteri, Clupeiformes, Clupeidae.
GUGCACUGAGAAGAGGCAUUGUGUCAGGGUUCAGCUGUUUCUCCUCCAGCAGCUGCUUGGGUAGAGUCUCCUGAUGCAGUAGGAACCUUUCCUGCUCUACGAUAUCUGGAGGAGAAACACAUAUACCAACAAUCAGGCAGUCCUACCCUUCAAUUCAAUCUCAAUUAAAGUUGAAAUUAUGCAUUAGGGAACAUGGUGUUUGCCAGUCCAGAGGGUCAAUUGACCAGUUGCUGCCCCCAUGGUGGUCAAUUGACCAGUUGGUGCAUGGUGUGUGCCACAGUUCUGCAUGAGUGCCUCCCCGGUUUUAGAAGUUAUCUGUUCUGGAUUGCCAGGUUGGCAUUAAUCAGGGUCUGGGUCAGUGAGAUCUACACACACUGGGAUGACCGACGCCAUUUCUCAGCAACCUGGAAGGAUACUUGGGCCCAGACUAUUUGCUUGUUUUUAGUUAGGACAGCUGGUGGGUCUCUCCCUCAGUGUAUAGCACUGUAAAUAAAACAGCUCCUGAUA